GGCCUAACACAUGCAAGUCGAACGAUGAUGCCCAGCUUGCUGGGUGGAUUAGUGGCGAACGGGUGAGUAACACGUGAGUAACCUGCCCCUGACUCUGGGAUAAGCGUUGGAAACGACGUCUAAUACUGGAUAUGACUACUGGCCGCAUGGUCUGGUGGUGGAAAGAUUUUUUGGUUGGGGAUGGACUCGCGGCCUAUCAGCUUGUUGGUGAGGUAAUGGCUCACCAAGGCGACGACGGGUAGCCGGCCUGAGAGGGUGACCGGCCACACUGGGACUGAGACACGGCCCAGACUCCUACGGGAGGCAGCAGUGGGGAAUAUUGCACAAUGGGCGAAAGCCUGAUGCAGCAACGCCGCGUGAGGGAUGACGGCCUUCGGGUUGUAAACCUCUUUUAGUAGGGAAGAAGCGAAAGUGACGGUACCUGCAGAAAAAGCACCGGCUAACUACGUGCCAGCAGCCGCGGUAAUACGUAGGGUGCAAGCGUUGUCCGGAAUUAUUGGGCGUAAAGAGCUCGUAGGCGGUUUGUCGCGUCUGCUGUGAAAUCCCGAGGCUCAACCUCGGGCUUGCAGUGGGUACGGGCAGACUAGAGUGCGGUAGGGGAGAUUGGAAUUCCUGGUGUAGCGGUGGAAUGCGCAGAUAUCAGGAGGAACACCGAUGGCGAAGGCAGAUCUCUGGGCCGUAACUGACGCUGAGGAGCGAAAGCAUGGGGAGCGAACAGGAUUAGAUACCCUGGUAGUCCAUGCCGUANACGUUGGGCGCUAGAUGUAGGGACCUUUCCACGGUUUCUGUGUCGUAGCUAACGCAUUAAGCGCCCCGCCUGGGGAGUACGGCCGCAAGGCUAAAACUCAAAGGAAUUUGACGGGGGCCCGCACAAGCGGC
This 879-nucleotide ribosomal RNA is filed under the name uncultured Curtobacterium sp. Its description in RNAcentral is "bacterial SSU rRNA". It matches the Rfam family "Bacterial small subunit ribosomal RNA", at positions 45 to 933 of the family's 1533-position model. Lineage: Bacteria; Bacillati; Actinomycetota; Actinomycetes; Micrococcales; Microbacteriaceae. The record is from RNAcentral.